CCUACGGGGGGCAGCAGUGGGGAAUCUUGCACAAUGGGGGAAACCCUGAUGCAGCAACGCCGCGUGAAGGAAGACGGUUUUCGGAUUGUAAACUUCUGUUCUUAGUGAAGAAGAAUGACGGUAGCUAAGGAGCAAGCCACGGCUAACUACGUGCCAGCAGCCGCGGUAAUACGUAGGUGGCAAGCGUUAUCCGGAUUUACUGGGCGUAAAGGGAGCGUAGACGGCAGCACAAGUCUGGAGUGAAAUCCCGGGGCUUAACCCCGGAACGGCUUUGGAAACUGUGCGGCUGGAGUGCAGGAGGGGUAAGCGGAAUGCCUAGUGUAGCGGUGAAAUGCGUAGAUAUUAGGAGGAACACCGGUGGCGAAGGCGGCUUACUGGACUGUAACUGACGUUGAGGCUCGAAAGCGUGGGGAGCAAACAGGAUUAGAUACCCUGGUAGUC
RNAcentral lists this ribosomal RNA (441 nucleotides) under uncultured bacterium. RNAcentral's name for it is "partial 16S ribosomal RNA". It matches the Rfam family "Bacterial small subunit ribosomal RNA", at positions 338 to 795 of the family's 1533-position model. The record is from RNAcentral.